RNAcentral lists this ribosomal RNA (465 nucleotides) under Vreelandella stevensii. RNAcentral describes it as "partial 16S ribosomal RNA". It matches the Rfam family "Bacterial small subunit ribosomal RNA", at positions 338 to 795 of the family's 1533-position model. Lineage: Bacteria; Pseudomonadati; Pseudomonadota; Gammaproteobacteria; Oceanospirillales; Halomonadaceae. The record is from RNAcentral.
CCUACGGGAGGCAGCAGUGGGGAAUAUUGGACAAUGGGCGAAAGCCUGAUCCAGCCAUGCCGCGUGUGUGAAGAAGGCCUUCGGGUUGUAAAGCACUUUCAUUGGGGAAGAAAGCCUUGGGGCUAAUACCCUCGAGGAAGGACAUCACCCACAGAAGAAGCACCGGCUAACUCCGUGCCAGCAGCCGCGGUAAUACGGAGGGUGCGAGCGUUAAUCGGAAUUACUGGGCGUAAAGCGCGCGUAGGCGGUCUGAUAAGCCGGUUGUGAAAGCCCCGGGCUCAACCUGGGAACGGCAUCCGGAACUGUCAGGCUAGAGUGCAGGAGAGGAAGGUAGAAUUCCCGGUGUAGCGGUGAAAUGCGUAGAGAUCGGGAGGAAUACCAGUGGCGAAGGCGGCCUUCUGGACUGACACUGACGCUGAGGUGCGAAAGCGUGGGUAGCAAACAGGAUUAGAUACCCUAGUAGUC